This 404-nucleotide small RNA is filed under the name Histoplasma capsulatum. Its description in RNAcentral is "hypothetical RNA". The record is from RNAcentral. Lineage: Eukaryota; Fungi; Ascomycota; Eurotiomycetes; Onygenales; Ajellomycetaceae. RNAcentral also lists the same sequence under 1 other name.
CUGCCUCAUUUCCUUCAAUGUAAUAUUUGUGCCCACGCCGAUGCAUGCGCUCCGCAAACUGGAUAUUUAGAUGUUGGAUCACUGCUCUUAGCCAAUGAGAAUCGUCUUCCCCAUCAAUGGGUGCGUUGAUAUUGAUGCCACCAAAAAAGACCUCCUUGUAAUCUCCAUUCAAGCCCAUCACACCUAUAUCGUACACCGAGCCGAAAAGAUCCACUAAGUAGGCACGUUGAUCAACCAGUGUGGUAUAUGGCUUUUGCCAAUAGAGUGAAGCUCCAUGCCAACAGUCCUUGCAAUGUUGUCACGCUCCUCUUUGAGAAUUGGUAGUUCCCGCCUCAGGUGAUGGAAGGCAUUUGUGGAGAGGAUUGAUGCCUUUUAUAUGUUUGACGAAGAGCCUUGUAGGCCCC